UCAUAUAACAGAGUUUUGCCAGAUCCACAAGCUUUGGCAAAUGGUACAGGUUGGGUAAGUUGGGAUUUGGCAUCCGCAGUCUGAUAAGUGAGAUUAUUUACGAGAGUUUCUAUGUCCUUAAACUUUGGCGUAAAGCCAAGACGGAUAACGUUAUCACUGGCAGCCAUGCACUCAAUUAUAUUUCCAGAAACAUAAGCAUGUGGAUCUAAGGCACGAAGAAAAACGGCUUCUCCUGGAUGUAAUCGAACGUA
Molecule: non-coding RNA, 251 nt
Organism: Schizosaccharomyces pombe (fission yeast)
Lineage: Eukaryota; Fungi; Ascomycota; Schizosaccharomycetes; Schizosaccharomycetales; Schizosaccharomycetaceae
Source: the annotation of a GenBank genome assembly